GAGUUUGAUCCUGGCUCAGGAUGAACGCUGGCGGCAGGCUUAAUACAUGCAAGUCGAACGGUAACAGGCCUAGCAAUGGGUGCUGACGAGUGGCGCACGGGUGCGUAACGCGUAUGCAACCUACCUAUAAUUGGGACAUAACGUUGAGAAAUCGGCGCUAAUAUUCCAUGUGAAUAUCAGAUGGCAUCAUUUGGUAUUUAAAGAUUUAUUGAUUAUGGAUGGGCAUGCGUAUCAUUAGUUAGUUGGAGUGGUAACGGCACACCAAGGCGAUGAUGAUUCGGGGUUCUGAGAGGAUAUCCCCCCACACUGGAACUGAGACACGGUCCAGACUCCUACGGGAGGCAGCAGUAGGGAAUAUUGGGCAAUGGAGGCAACUCUGACCCAGCCAUGCCGCGUGAAGGAAGACGGUCCUACGGAUUGUAAACUUCUUUUAUCAUAGAGUAACCAUAGAUACGCGUAUCUAUCUGCAAGUAUAUGAUGAAUAAGCACCGGCUAACUCCGUGCCAGCAGCCGCGGUAAUACGGAGGGUGC
RNAcentral lists this ribosomal RNA (531 nucleotides) under uncultured Bacteroidota bacterium. RNAcentral's name for it is "bacterial SSU rRNA". It matches the Rfam family "Bacterial small subunit ribosomal RNA", at positions 9 to 535 of the family's 1533-position model. The record is from RNAcentral. Lineage: Bacteria; Pseudomonadati; Bacteroidota.